Molecule: ribosomal RNA, 477 nt
Filed under: uncultured organism
Description: partial 16S ribosomal RNA
Rfam family: Bacterial small subunit ribosomal RNA
Source: RNAcentral
UACACUCCUACGGGAGGCAGCAGUGGGGAAUAUUGCACAAUGGGCGCAAGCCUGAUGCAGCCAUGCCGCGUGUAUGAAGAAGGCCUUCGGGUUGUAAAGUACUUUCAGCGGGGAGGAAGGCGAUAAGGUUAAUAACCUUGUCGAUUGACGUUACCCGCAGAAGAAGCACCGGCUAACUCCGUGCCAGCAGCCGCGGUAAUACGGAGGGUGCAAGCGUUAAUCGGAAUUACUGGGCGUAAAGCGCACGCAGGCGGUCUGUCAAGUCGGAUGUGAAAUCCCCGGGCUCAACCUGGGAACUGCAUUCGAAACUGGCAGGCUAGAGUCUUGUAGAGGGGGGUAGAAUUCCAGGUGUAGCGGUGAAAUGCGUAGAGAUCUGGAGGAAUACCGGUGGCGAAGGCGGCCCCCUGGACAAAGACUGACGCUCAGGUGCGAAAGCGUGGGGAGCAAACAGGAUUAGAUACCCUUGUAGUCCCAUGA